Molecule: RNA transcript, 2314 nt
Organism: Glycine soja
Lineage: Eukaryota; Viridiplantae; Streptophyta; Magnoliopsida; Fabales; Fabaceae
Gene name: U3 small nucleolar ribonucleoprotein protein MPP10-like
Exons: 14
Source: RefSeq, a predicted model, not a curated record
CCCACCAAAAAGAAACUUGGUCCAUCAAAACGCACAGUUUUAGUCUUCACCAUUUUUCGCUGGGCUAAAAUCCUAAAACCCUAAACCCAUAUAUCGCCGAAAGAACAGAGUAGCACUAUCAGAGCACCCUGCCAUGGAGAACACUAGCAACGACGCUGGCGUCGAAGCCCUACGGCUGCUGAAAGCGACGGAACCGCCUUCAUUUCUCACUCCGAACCCAGCGCUGUCGGAAGCUGCUCGUACCGCAUCGCAAUACUUGUUCUCUUCCCUAAAACCGUUUUCCCCAAAAUCGCCACUGGACCAACUCCUUGUGGACGGUUUCGACGCAGAACAGAUAUGGCAGCAAAUAGACCUCCAAACGCAGCCUCUGUUAUCCACCAUUCGCCGCCGCGUGAAACAGCUGGUCGAAAAUCCCGAAGAGAUUUCCCAGCUGAAGGUUCCUUCGGAGGGUGGGAACAAGAAGGAGGAGAAGAGUCAAGACGAGUGGGAAGAAGAGAGUGACGGUUUUGACGAGGAAUUGGAUGAGGAAGAGGAAGAAGAUGAGGAUGAUGAAGUAAAGGAGGGAGAAGGAGAAGAAGAAGAAGAAGAGACGGAGGAUGAAGAGGAAGAGGGGGAGGAUAAUGAAGAAGGUGGUGUCAUUGAGGAUAAAUUCUUUAAAAUAGAUGAAUUGACAAAGUACUUAGAGAAGGAGGAAGAUGAUUUCGAGAAUGGCGAGGCAGACAGAGAAGGUGAGGAGGAAGAUGACGAAGAAGAAAGUGAUGAGGAAGGUGAUUUUGGGAUUGGUGAUGAUGAUGAUGAGGAUGAAGAUGAAGAAGCAGAGGGCAUAGAAAGUGCAAGGUAUGAAGACUUCUUUGGAGGUAAAAAGGAAAGGGGGUCAAAAAGAAAAGCUCAAGUACUUCAGGAAUCUGAAUAUUCUGAUGAUGAAGAUGAUAUGGAAUUUGACAAGCAGACGAAAGGGACUGCAUCUGCCCAUGAAAAGCAACUGGAAAAAAUUCAGUCCAAGAUAGAGCUGAUGGAGAAAGCUAACAUAGAUCCAAAAACAUGGACUAUGCAGGGUGAGGUAACUGCUGCAAAGAGACCAAAGAAUAGUGCAUUGGAAGUUGAUCUGGACUUUGAGCAUAAUGUGAGGCCUGCUCCUGUAAUCACUGAAGAAGUUACAGCUUCAAUUGAGGAUAUAAUCAAGAAAAGGAUUAUUGAGGGGCACUUUAAUGAUGUUCAAAGGGUUCCUAAAUUGCCAUCUAAAGCACCUCGGGAAGUUAAAGAGUUGGAUGACAAUAAAAGCAAGCAGGGUCUUGCAGAACUUUAUGAGCAAGAAUAUGUUCAGAAGACAGACCCCACUUCUGCUCCAUUGUCAUUUAAAGAUGAACAAAAGAAUGAGGCAAGCAUGCUGUUUAAGAGACUCUGUCUGAAGCUGGAUGCCCUUUCUCAUUUUAACUUUGCUCCAAAACCUGUUAUAGAGGACAUGUCUAUUCAAGCUAAUGUGCCUGCUCUAGCAAUGGAAGAAAUUGCACCUGUGGCUGUUUCAGAUGCUGCUAUGUUGGCACCUGAGGAGGUAUUUGAUGGGAAAGGUGAUAUUAAGGAAGAAACAGAGCUUACAAAGGCAGAAAGGAAAACAAGGAGAGCUAAUAAGAAAAGAAAAUUUAAAGCUGAGGCAGUAAAAAGGACGAAUAAGAAGGCACAAGAAGGGGUGAUUCGUAGCAAAGUUAAUGUGAGACAGGGUACCUGGAUAUGACUCUACCCUUGUCUGGGCACAACUCCUUGUAUCUUAGUCUUUAGAUAUGAUGACUAGUUUCCUACACAUUGAGGGUAAACAACAAUUCAAUAUUUAUGAUUGUUUACAGAAGCUGCACAACUAAUAAUAAGUUCAAAGGGGGAGCCCAUGGCAAAAUGAAGUAAAAUUGACAUGGAAGAGGAUUUUUGUUGGAGUCAACCAUGAUAAAUGAGCAAUGCCAUUCAUAAGCUUGGUAGUGGCAGAUGAAAGCAACUUGAAUGCUCUUUUUAGUUUGGCUGUUUUCGUCAUUCCUUGAAUUCUUGGUUAAUAUCAAAACAUGGAAAGGAGAGUCACUGUUUAUUUACUUUUCCUGCUACUCAUUGUUACAAGUUCGUAGCAGCGGUAUUUUUUUUUGUGCUAAAUUUUGUAUUCUUUAAUUAUAUUCACAGCUGAUAUGUAGAGCACCAAACUAAUGGCAGAUGGUCAUAGUUGAACCUUGAAUUCUCCAAACCAACGAGGCAUAAGAAAAUUGUUGGAAAAUUUUGCUUUUGAUGCUUUUGCUUGUAAAACUUUUUGAUGCAGUAAAUCUUUGAUUCUCUUGAA